CUUGUCUGUUUUGAUCCCUCACCAAUACGAGUACUCGUCUUUACACUAAUCAACUCUGUCAAUAAUUUUAUUAUCUAAAAACAAAAUAAGAUGGAAUUUAAAAAGUUUUUUCUGUUAUUCGUUGCACUUUUCAUGAUGUUAUCUCUUGCAACGUCUGCACCUGCACCGGCUCCUAAAUGGAAGUUUUGGAAAAAAGUUGAACACGUUGGUCAAAACAUCAGAGACGGAAUCAUUAAGGCUGGACCUGCGGUGGCGGUUGUGGGAUCAGCUGCGAGCCUCGGAAAAUAAAUCUUCAUCUUUAUAAAAUAUAACACUGGCUUGUUAGAUAGUUUGGACUAUUCAGCUGUACCUUGUAAAUAGAAAAUAUAUCAUCUUUCCUUAUUAUCUGUUAUUAUUUCUAAGAUUUUAUUUUUCCAUUAUUCUGCUUUCGGUUUAUUGUUUCUUGGACUAUUAUUCAUGAACAACGACUUUUUUAAACUUCAGCUAGGAAGAAGUUAGACU
RNAcentral lists this unclassified non-coding RNA (501 nucleotides) under Melitaea cinxia (Glanville fritillary). RNAcentral describes it as "misc RNA ENSMCXG00005007843.1". Lineage: Eukaryota; Metazoa; Arthropoda; Insecta; Lepidoptera; Nymphalidae. The record is from RNAcentral.